GACGAAGGAUGCAAGCGUUAUCCGGAAUUACUGGGCGUAAAGAGCUCGUAGGUGGUUUGUCGCGUUGUUCGUGAAAACUCACAACUCAAUUGUGGGCGUGCGGGCGAUACGGGCAGACUGGAGUACUGCAGGGGAGACUGGAAUUCCUGGUGUAGCGGUGGAAUGCGCAGAUAUCAGGAGGAACACCGGUGGCGAAGGCGGGUCUCUGGGCAGUAACUGACGCUGAGGAGCGAAAGCAUGGGGAGCGAACAGG
Molecule: ribosomal RNA, 253 nt
Filed under: uncultured bacterium
Lineage: Bacteria
Description: partial 16S ribosomal RNA
Rfam family: Bacterial small subunit ribosomal RNA
Source: RNAcentral